UGGGGAAUUUUGGACAAUGGGGGCAACCCUGAUCCAGCCAUGCCGCGUGCGGGAAGAAGGCCCUAUGGGUCGUAAACAUCUUUUAUGAGGGAGAAAGUUUAUUGAUAGUACCUCACGAAUAAGGGGUUGCUAAACUCGUGCCAGCAGCAGCGGUAAUACGAGUGCCCCGAGCGUUAUCCGGAAUCAUUGGGCGUAAAGGGUGUGUAGGUGGCAUUGUUAGUCACACGUUAAACCCUGGGGCUUAACCCCAGAUCUGCGUGUGAUACGGCAAAGCUAGAGGAUGGCAGGGAUGUAUGGAACUCAUGGAGUAGGGGUGAAAUCCGUUGAUAUCAUGGGGAACACCGAAAGCGAAGGCAGUACAUUGGGCCACUCCUGACACUGAAACACGAAAGCGUGGGUAGCGAAUGGGAUUAGAUACCCAUGUAGUCCCUGAGCGGGCUGGCAAGGCGCAU
Molecule: ribosomal RNA, 452 nt
Filed under: uncultured bacterium
Lineage: Bacteria
Description: bacterial SSU rRNA
Rfam family: Bacterial small subunit ribosomal RNA
Source: RNAcentral